CUGUUAAGUGGGGGCAACAUAAUAUGACUUAUCUCUUUAUAACUUUUUUUUUUGUAUGAAUUGAGUAACAGGUAAAAAGAAGAUCAGUUACAUAGAUUUGACAUUCGAGUGUGAUCACUUACUUCAGGACAUUUCAAUAAUAAAUAUAAGAUUCUCUAUUUUAUGAUCUAAAAACAGCAACAUUUAAAGAAAGAUAUAGGUCCCACUUGGAUU
This is a long non-coding RNA of Juglans microcarpa x Juglans regia, 213 nucleotides long. RefSeq lists it as uncharacterized. The transcript has 3 exons. The record is from RefSeq and is a predicted model, not a curated record. Lineage: Eukaryota; Viridiplantae; Streptophyta; Magnoliopsida; Fagales; Juglandaceae.